RNAcentral lists this long non-coding RNA (242 nucleotides) under Carica papaya (papaya). RNAcentral's name for it is "long non-coding RNA (CPAP_LNC007156)". Lineage: Eukaryota; Viridiplantae; Streptophyta; Magnoliopsida; Brassicales; Caricaceae. The record is from RNAcentral.
UUUAUUUAAGAAAGAAAAAUAAGCUCCAUUGGUUGUUUUACGAUUUUUACAAAUCUUUAAUUUUUCGUAUCAGUGGUAAGGCGUUGAUAUUCUUACUAAACUAGUUUACCUGACUCUUUUAUUAUUAACUAUUUCAUAUCAGGAUGAUCAAAACCUGGACUCUGAGUAGUAAGAAAACUAGCUAAAAGAUUACCUCCUUAUUCUCCAAUUAUGCAGCAGAGGUUGAUCACAUAGGUUUUUCG